AAGUUUUUAAAAUAUAACCGUUAGAAAACGUGUCUUCAGUAAACGCCUCCGUUAAUCAAAUAUAGACGCGUUAAGAAUAAUCGUGUGCGUUGUCAAUUUAUUUCCACAUUGUUCACAGUUCCUCUUUCUGGGAAGGAUUCUCUCAGAUCGAUUCUUCCAAAAUUUGCAAAACUGGAACAGAAUCCGAUUGCCAUCUUAGAUUAGUUGAUUCCGCCUAAAACCCGAUGUGAUUGUUUGGGCUCCUCUCACUCGUCAUCGUUGAGAUGAUAUAUUAUCGCUUGGAGGAGGAAACCCACCGGCCUUUUAGUUGCUGAUUUACAUACCUGGAAGCUUACUCCGCGUGAAACCAUCGUCACCAAGGUAUCUGCUUCAGAAGGUGUUCAAAACCAAAUAGUUCAAGAUUUUGAGGAGAUUUCAAGUGUAGCAGACUUUUGUGGCAGGUAUGUGCUUUUCAAACUUGCUUGUAAUUAGUUUCUGAAAUUCAAACAUAUGUGAAAUCAAGAUUAAUUUCAUUUCCACUAGACACGUGCUUGAAUAAGCAUCCAAAUCUUAACAUAUUUAUGUGUUAGCCUUUAUACUUAUGUGAGAGCGUGAAGUAUAUAUGCCAAUAUGGAUUUUCUCAGGUAUGUGCUUCUCUUAUGGAUGCCCAAAAAAGAUUUUUCUAAUGUUUACAAUUCUUUGGUGAAGUAUGGAUUUAUCACCCUCUUUAUAUUGUAUAACUUUGGAUUUGAAUCAAUGUUUCAGAGUAACAUCUCUGUUUCAUGAAGAAAACACUGUCACUUGAAAUUCUGCAGGUCUAUUUUCUUCUGCAUCAACCGAUUUCAAAUCCUAAUGUGGUGUAUCUCAAACCUCCAUACAUGGGUUCUGCACAAUCACUUAAAAAUACAAAACAUACAUACAUAGGUACAAACAUGCAUUCAUAUAUACGUACUUUCAUACUGUAUACAUGCAUAAUUGCUUACAUACAUCAUUGUUUAUUUGCUUUCUUGAUUUUUUGUUUGAUUCUUCUGGUAAGUUACCCUUUCAUUCAUACUUCUUCCCUUGCUUGCUUUCUUGAUGUUCUGCUUCUUUAUUGACUUCCCUGAUUCAUUGUUUCACUUCUUUACUUCCUUGCUUCCUUAUGUUUUGUUUUUGUUCCUAUUUGGAUGUGUUUUUGCGUACCUGGUUGUUUAUAUAUAUUAUUUUGCGAUUCCUUACACACUUCUUCAUUUUUUUCAUCUUUGAUCUCGUGUCUGUCGUUCUGUGGAAACUUAUUGCUGAUAUCCAUUGAUAAACAGUUGAUUUAAUUUUUUAUACUGGUACAUUUAUAUUUUGUGCUUAUGUUGACAGCAAUAAAUAUUGUUUGGAAAGUAGUUAUUAUCUUUAUUCUAUGUUUGUACAUCAUAACAUCUCUCAUUUUAUAAAUAGAUAUAUCUUGGAGUUUAUAUAAAUAUUUAUCUCGUUUGACUAACAAUACCUAUUAUCUAUGUUUUGGUGCUUGUGUUCAUUUAUGAAAUGGAUGUAUCUUGGAGUCUCUUAUAGAUAUCUACUUUGGGUGCAAGUAUGACUCAUGUAUAUUUUGGUAGAAUUUUCCUUGAGUCUGGUAUGUACUUGUUUUGCGUCAUGCUCGAAAUCCUUGGUGAUUAUUCCAAAAUUUUACAAUGACAUGAUCCUCACAAUCUAAUUGGUUGUUAUUUGAGUAAUGUUAGAAUUAUGCAUCAUGAUUCUUACAUUUAUGAUUAUUGUGUAAUUUUUUCUCUUUAAAAUGUGUAUCAGUUGACUUGACUUUUAUAAUAUAAUGCUUGGAAAUAUUUUCAGUUAUGGUAUUAGACUAGUAUCUCUCACUUUGUCUUAACAUAUAUAGUUAAUUGGAACUUGGUUUCUUUGUCAAAACAGAGUUCAUUGUCUCUACGUUUUUUUCUACUUGAAUCUUUUUUAAGUAAUGUUUACUGCUGUUUGUUGUUUGCCAAAAUGGACAAUUUAAUUUCAGCGUGAGUUUUUGUUGAUAAACAAUGAUUUUUUUUUUUUUUUUGGCUUUGUGUUAAGAUACAAGUUUUUUCAUGUAAACACAUUUGUUGCUUAUACGAUCAUCUUGGUCAUUCUCUGUUAAGAUUAUUUUUGAUCAUGAUAUCCUCAGUGUGGUAGGAUUGAUAACCAUUUUUCAUCUUAAACUCUUGGAAUAGUUGGUGUGGUAAAAAAAUAUAAAAAAUUAUUGAGAAUAUUAUUCACUAGCGCGGAUUUUUGAUCUAAAUUUUAAAUUUUUUUUUAAAAGAUACUGAAAAUAUAAAUAAUUGCAUUUUCUAGAUUUUUUGGUAAUGGUAAGAUAAUUUUACAUUCUUAACAAAAUAAAAGCAGUUAUUAUUAGUGAUACUUUUAACUCAUGCCAAUUAAAUAUUGUAUCUCUUAUCAAAAGUGACUAAUACAAUUGUUUUGUUUUUUUAAUCAUUUAAGUGUUUUUCUCAAAGAAUUUUUUUUUUGGACGUUUUGGAGUUGUAAUGUAAAUAUGUAAUGAAUAUUUAACUUGUUAAGUGCAAUAUAUGUAUUGUUUAGUACUUGACUGAAAAGUCUAUAUGUUAGGUAUAUUGAAACGGUAUAAGAUUUAUGUAUAUUUUAUAAACCUUAUUUCAUGUAAGUUUUUUCAUAUUUUGCAUUUAUGAUCUUUAAUGUUUUUAUUCGGAUUAAUGUUUUGCUAAUUAUUUUGUAUUUAUAUGUUUCUUUUAUUUACAUUUUGAAAGUAAAUAUCGUUUUUAUGUUGGUUUUAACUCAAGUAUUUUGAACCAAAAUUUUUGUUGAUGAUUUAUAAAUUUUAAUAUAUGAUAUUUGACAUUUUAGUAAUGUAUAUAUUUAAAAAAAGAGUUUAUAAGUAAUUUAACUAAAUUGAAAAUUCUAUAGAUUUUACUGUUUAGUGGUUAGGGCAUCUUCAACCCUAUUUCAUUUUCUACUCAAAACAUCAUUUUGAAGUAAAAUGUACUUCAACCUAACUCCAUUUUCAACUCCAAAUGGAGUAAUGGCUAGGGUUACUCCAUUUAUGGAGUAAUCUUACUCAUUAGUCCAUUUAAGAGUUAAAACUUUUUAUUUAUUUAUAGAAUAAUCUUUUAAAUCUUAAAUAUUUUUAUUUCAUAAUUUUUUCCUCACUUUUAUUUGCUUAGAAUAUGUUUUUGAAAAGUAGUAAAACAUAUACAUUUCUUCUAUUUUUAUAAAUAAUAUUAUCAAAGAAUGUGAUAAAUUUGCAUAUUAUAAUAUCUGAAGUAUACUAUUCAGUUUUUAAUUUGAAUAUUUUUUAGUUUUUUUUUCAUCGCUGAACAAUCAUAACAAUGAGUUUGGUUUGAUCCUAAACCGAAUCAAAACCCAGCAGAAAAACCUUGAAAGAAGAAAGACAUAGACUUGAAAGCAGAAAAACACAACUAAUAUUUGUUUCGUUAGAUAUGAGUUUGAUAAUUGUUUACUUCAUAUAGGAAUGAGAAUUAAUGAUGGUUUUCUUUCUUUUUUGUUAAAAAGAACUAUUGUAGUAUAGAGUAGUUAUUUAAUAAGCUAUUUGAUUUUUUUUUUGUAAAUAUAUGUAGGAGAUAUGUGUGAGGUUCUUUAUAAGGUGCAAAGUUUCUUAGAUUCUUAAGGUUGUGGCUCCGUCUGAUGUUUUAUUGUAUGGCUUAGAUGUUUUGCUCAAUUGAUUCCCGUGUGUGGGCUUGUGUCUCCCUCUUGUAGGAUUAGUCUCUCAUAUAACUUUCGAGCUUCUGUUCUGGCUUUGUAUUUCAUCUUGAUCAAUAUAAUCCUUCAAUAAAAAAUAUAUAUAAAAAUAUAUAUGUAUAAGAUAUAUGUGUGAUGUCCCAUCAUGACUUGUUAUAACUGAAUAUAACUGAACAUUAUAUUGGCCACAUUAAGUGUAACAACACCAUCUCUAUCUGCUUAUCAAAGAGUAAGGGACACUUUGUUGGAUGUUCUGCUAUUUAAGCAGAUGCUUGUAAAAGGUUCUUUAAGCGCAAGAAUCUACAUUUCUUCCCUCAAAAAGGUAAAAGAUUUGGUAUAUCAAGUUGCACAAUUGUGAAGAAGCUAAUGAGUUUGAAAAUAGUAUGAACGACCAAGAAAAUGAAAAUGUGUUAAAAAGGAACUCACAUAUGUGUCAAUAUCGUUGUAGCGUAAACCAAGUUAAUUGUUCUCUCGUUUUCCUUUCAUUCAAUCGUGACAAAAAAAAACAGAAUAAUAUAAAAAGGGAUAAAUCACAAUAGCAAACAUAAUAGGCUUUUAUUUUAUUUUUUAAUUUUUUGUAAAAAACAUAAUAGUCUUUUAUUACAAAUUUAAAACCCAACAUAUGAAGUAUGAAAACACAACACAUGCUUGCAAAGAAGAGUACCUGAACAUGCUUGCAAAGGAGAGUACCUGAACUUCACAACUAAUUAUUCAUUAGUAAGAUAAAUGUGCAAAAACAUAGAGCUAAAAAUAUUGAUUAAGUUGUAUAUUUUUUUGUUGGGAUGUAGACAAUAACAGUGGAGCAAGACACCUAAAGCAACUGAAGAUGGUAAUCCCAUCGCUUGAUCAAAUAUGGAGACCAUUUCUUCAGUUGAUCCUAAUGUCAUUUUUGUUGCUGCUGGAGCUCCUCCUUCAUGUUCGGUCUGUAAUAUCUUUCAACUUUCGUGAUAACCAAGGUAAAACCUGAAACUUUUAGGUCAAACUAAGCAGAUCACUAAACUAUAAAUCUGUGUUUGUGGUUUAUGUUUUAAGGUGAUCUCACACCGGCUCAAACACUUGACCUUCUCUAUUGUUUUUUAUUUUUUAUUUUUUUGUCAACCUUGACCUCUUCUCUGUUCGAAUUACUAUUUAAUUGUGUAUAUAAUAUCAGAGAAAGUAAAGGAAAAAGCUAAUAAAACAUUAUAAUC
Brassica napus (rape) is the source of this 4850-nucleotide long non-coding RNA. RefSeq lists it as uncharacterized. NCBI's taxonomy places the organism in Eukaryota, Viridiplantae, Streptophyta, Magnoliopsida, Brassicales, Brassicaceae. The transcript is spliced from 5 exons. The record is from RefSeq and is a predicted model, not a curated record.